Molecule: non-coding RNA, 223 nt
Filed under: Bacillus sp. (in: firmicutes)
Lineage: Bacteria; Bacillati; Bacillota; Bacilli; Caryophanales; Bacillaceae
Description: Bacillus sp. T-box sequence
Rfam family: T-box leader
About the family: Uncharged tRNA acts as the effector for transcription antitermination of genes in the T-box leader family. T-boxes are found upstream of many aminoacyl-tRNA synthetase genes and some amino acid biosynthetic genes usually in Gram-positive bacteria. The anticodon of a specific tRNA base pairs to a specifier sequence within the T-box motif, and the NCCA acceptor tail of the tRNA base pairs to a conserved bulge in the T-box antiterminator hairpin.
Source: RNAcentral
AUUAAAACGAUGACAGGAACUAGUAAUAAGUCUUGCUUUCUAAAGAGAGCCGGUGGUAGGUGUGAAUCGGUGGAAGAAGCUUAUGAAUCCAUCCUGGAGUAAAGUAUGGAACCCCGAUAAUUUGGGUAGUAAUUACUUUCGGCUUAUGCCGUUAUCUUACGAGUGGAAGGUACAAUUGUGUCUUCAACUAGGGUGGCAACGCGGGUUAACUCUCGUCCCUUUU